Molecule: ribosomal RNA, 700 nt
Filed under: Halomonas sp. YIM 90831
Lineage: Bacteria; Pseudomonadati; Pseudomonadota; Gammaproteobacteria; Oceanospirillales; Halomonadaceae
Description: bacterial SSU rRNA
Rfam family: Bacterial small subunit ribosomal RNA
Source: RNAcentral
CUGGCGGCAGGCCUAACACAUGCAAGUCGAGCGGUAACAGGUCCAGCUUGCUGGAUGCUGACGAGCGGCGGACGGGUGAGUAAUGCAUAGGAAUUUACCCGGUAGUGGGGGAUAACCUGGGGAAACCCAGGCUAAUACCGCAUACGUCCUACGGGAGAAAGGGGGCUUCGGCUCCCGCUAUUGGAUGAGCCUAUGUCGGAUUAGCUGGUUGGUGAGGUAAUGGCUCACCAAGGCGACGAUCCGUAGCUGGUCUGAGAGGAUGAUCAGCCACAUCGGGACUGAGACACGGCCCGAACUCCUACGGGAGGCAGCAGUGGGGAAUAUUGGACAAUGGGGGCAACCCUGAUCCAGCCAUGCCGCGUGUGUGAAGAAGGCCCUCGGGUUGUAAAGCACUUUCAGCGAGGAAGAACGCCUGUCGGUUAAUACCCGGCAGGAGAGACAUCACUCGCAGAAGAAGCACCGGCUAACUCCGUGCCAGCAGCCGCGGUAAUACGGAGGGUGCAAGCGUUAAUCGGAAUUACUGGGCGUAAAGCGCGCGUAGGUGGCUUGAUAAGCCGGUUGUGAAAGCCCCGGGCUCAACCUGGGAACGGCAUCCGGAACUAUGAGGCUAGAGUGCAGGAGAGGAAGGUAGAAUUCCCGGUGUAGCGGUGAAAUGCGUAGAGAUCGGGAGGAAUACCAGUGGCGAAGGCGGCCUUCUGGA